CCUACGGGGAGCUGCAGUGAGGAAUAUUGGUCAAUGGACGAGAGUCUGAACCAGCCAAGUAGCGUGAAGGAUGACUGCCCUAUGGGUUGUAAACUUCUUUUAUAUGGGAAUAAAAUGUUCCACGUGUGGGAUUUUGUAUGUACCAUAUGAAUAAGGAUCGGCUAACUCCGGGCCAGCAGCCGCGGUAAUACGGAGGAUCCGAGCGUUAUCCGGAUUUAUUGGGUUUAAAGGGAGCGUAGGUGGAUUGUUAAGUCAGUUGUGAAAGUUUGCGGCUCAACCGUAAAAUUGCAGUUGAAACUGGCAGUCUUGAGUACAGUAGAGGUGGGCGGAAUUCGUGGUGUAGCGGUGAAAUGCUUAGAUAUCACGAAGAACUCCGAUUGCGAAGGCAGUUCACUGGACUGCAACUGACACUGAGGCUCGAAAGUGUGGGUAUCAAACAGGAUUAGAUACCCCUGUAGUC
RNAcentral lists this ribosomal RNA (460 nucleotides) under uncultured bacterium. Its description in RNAcentral is "partial 16S ribosomal RNA". It matches the Rfam family "Bacterial small subunit ribosomal RNA", at positions 338 to 795 of the family's 1533-position model. The record is from RNAcentral.